This 75-nucleotide antisense RNA is filed under the name Micromonospora pallida. Its description in RNAcentral is "ASpks TB sRNA". It matches the Rfam family "ASpks TB sRNA". Lineage: Bacteria; Bacillati; Actinomycetota; Actinomycetes; Micromonosporales; Micromonosporaceae. The record is from RNAcentral.
CUUGAUCGACCCGAGCCAGAGCGGCUGGUCGGCCGCGCGGUCCUGCCCGUACGUGGCAAGCAGCGCCUGCGCCUC